GGGUUGUGAGGUUAAGCGACUAAGCGUACACGGUGGAUGCCCUGGCAGUCAGAGGCGAUGAAGGGCGUGCUAAUCUGCGAUAAGCGCCGGUAAGGUGAUAUGAACCGUUAUAACCGGCGAUACCCGAAUGGGGAAACCCAGUGUGACUCGUCACACUAUCAUUAACUGAAUCCAUAGGUUAAUGAGGCGAACCGGGGGAACUGAAACAUCUAAGUACCCCGAGGAAAAGAAAUCAACCGAGAUUCCCCCAGUAGCGGCGAGCGAACGGGGAGGAGCCCAGAGCCUGAAUCAGCAUAUGUGUUAGUGGAAGCGUCUGGAAAGGCGCGCGAUACAGGGUGACAGCCCCGUACACAAAAGCGCAUGUGCUGUGAGCUCGAUGAGUAGGGCGGGACACGUGGUAUCCUGUCUGAAUAUGGGGGGACCAUCCUCCAAGGCUAAAUACUCCUGACUGACCGAUAGUGAACCAGUACCGUGAGGGAAAGGCGAAAAGAACCCCGGCGAGGGGAGUGAAAAAGAACCUGAAACCGUGUACGUACAAGCAGUGGGAGCACAGGUUUACC
Molecule: ribosomal RNA, 560 nt
Filed under: Salmonella enterica
Lineage: Bacteria; Pseudomonadati; Pseudomonadota; Gammaproteobacteria; Enterobacterales; Enterobacteriaceae
Description: partial 23S ribosomal RNA
Rfam family: Bacterial large subunit ribosomal RNA
Source: RNAcentral